CAAAAGUAUAAAAAGAGAUUAUUAUGAAUAAAUUGCUAUAAACCAAAGAAUUUACUAAGAGAAAUCUUAUAAAUAAACAAGGUGAACGGAAAAAUCUAAAUAACCUUAGGAAAAUAAAUCAAACGAGAUUCUACAUAUAAUGAGAAGUAAGGUAGAAUAGCCUGUAAUAAAAAUAAGUAAAAUGGAAUAUCUGUUUGAAUAAAGGGGAACCUUCCUCUAAGGCUAAAUAUGGUAUUAUACGCAAUAGUGAAUAGUCCCGUGAGGGAAUUUAUUUAAUAGUAAUUUUAUAAGCAGCUCAAGUGAAAUUUAAAUAAAUAACAAGAGCGUACCUUUUGCAUAAUGGGUCAGCAAGUUAAUUUUAGAUGCAAGAAUAAAUAUUACAUUAAAUUAAUGUAAUAAAGUUCCUAGAGAAAUCGAUUAUGAAAAAAUGAGAAAGUAUCUAAAAUUAGACCCGGAGGCUAGUGAUCUUACCAUUAUCAGGAUUAUAAAGGUCCGAACAGGUUAUCGUUGUAAAGAUAUCUGAAGAAUAGUGGUAAGUUAGUGAAAGACAAAACUGACUAGCUGAGCUGGUUUUCCGCGAAACCUAUAUUAGUAGGUAGUUUAAGUAACAUCUUAGCAGGUACAGAACUGUGAUCUCGGUCAAAAUAUUUAUUUUGUUAAAGCAAAAUAAAUUUGUAUAUAUCGGGGAAUCGUGAAGAUUUUAUCGGAGAGUAUUUGCACUCGGAAGGGUUAAGAUGAAUAUUAAAAAAUCGGACAUAGUACGAUAAGGUUGUAUGUCAAAAGGGAAACAGCCCAGAACAAGAGUUAAUAAGGUUCCAAAAUUAUUAUUAAGUGAAAUUAAGGAUGUAUCUUUGAAUACGAUCAAUUAAUAGGCUUGGAAGCGGCCAUUUUUUAAUGAUCUCGUAACAGAGCAUUGAUUUUUAAGAAGAUCACACCGAAAAUAUAACGGAUCUAAAUAAUAUACCGAAACCUUGUCCAUAUAUAGUUUUAUAUAAAAAAUAUAUAUGGGGUAGCGGAACAUUGGAUAAAUUUAAGACUUAUUCUUUUUAAGAUUAAAAAAUUAAAUAAUCCAAGCGAUAAUGCUGACAUGAGUAACGAAAAAGAUAAAUCUCGCCUUAAGCUUAUGGUAUUUAAUUAAAACGGCUUCUAAGCAUAAUUAAUUUUUUUAAAUAAUGCGAUGAAAUUUUUAACAAAACUAAUUAAAGUUAAAUUAGUUCAGGAAAAUAAAAACAACCGUACCUAGAUACUAACACAAGUAAGCUAGUAGAGUAUACGAAGGCGUUUGAGCAAACAAUCAUUAAGGAACUCGGCAAAUUGACUCACGUAACUUCGGGAUAAGGUGUACCAUUCCUAUCAAGUAUAAGCAUAUAUUGUUAAAAGUAAACAGGUUUAAACCUGUUUAUUUUAAUAUAUGUUUAAACCUAGGAAGAGGAAGCAUGGAAUAGUGUUGUACGACUGUUUAUUUAAAACAGAGCACUCUGCUAAGAUAAAAAUCGAAAUAUUGAGUGUGAUGUCUGCCCGGUGUCGGCUGGGUAACAGAUUUGCUUAAAAUUAAAAAGUUAGGCUUUGAAGAAAACCCCGACAAACGGCGGCCUUACCUAUGAGGGUCCUAAGGUAGCGGAAUACCCUGGCCGUUAAAUGCGGUCUUGCAUGAAUGAUGUAACGAUACAACAGCUGUCUCGAUGAUUGGCUCAGUGAAAUUGGAAUAGCAGUGCAGAUACUGCUUACCUCUAGAUAGACGAGAAGACCCUUUGCAGCUUUACUGUUACUAAUUUUGAUUGAAAUAUGAGAAUUCCAAGUGUAUAAGGUAGUUACCUUUAAAAAUUUAAUUUUUUAAAGGCUUUUAACAACCAUGAGACACCUUUAUUUACUCUAUUUCAUUCGAUUGAUUGGAAGACAGUUUAUGCGGGGCACAGAUCCCAUAAAAAGUACCUGGGUAUAUCCAAAAUUCUAUUAGUAAAAUUAGCACGUUAAGUGCUAAAAUAAUACGGAAUAUAUUCCGUAUUAUUUUAUUUUUAAUUUGUUAUUUAUUAUUUAUAAUUUAUUCAGUUACUAUUAUUUUAAAUAUAUUUAUAUUUUUUAUUUAAGUAAGAUUUUGACUAUAUGGUGAAUAGUUGUAUAAAAAAUUUUAAAAAAAUUAGAAUUUUUUAAUUGUAGUAUGUAAAUACUAUGAUAUUUAAUUAUACUGUUAAAGUUUAAUGGCUUAAUCUUGCUUUACUGUUAGACCUACAAGUCCAUCAGUCGCGUAAGCGGGGCAUAAGAUCGCAAGAUACUGAAAGGAAAGGUCUUGUAUUUUUGAAAAAGUUACGCUAGGGAUUUUUUUAUUAGUCCCCCAAUAUUUAUAAAUAUUGGUAAUUAUGUG
RNAcentral lists this ribosomal RNA (2362 nucleotides) under Exophiala dermatitidis NIH/UT8656. RNAcentral's name for it is "Bacterial large subunit ribosomal RNA". It matches the Rfam family "Bacterial large subunit ribosomal RNA", at positions 1 to 2522 of the family's 2925-position model. The record is from Rfam by way of RNAcentral. Lineage: Eukaryota; Fungi; Ascomycota; Eurotiomycetes; Chaetothyriales; Herpotrichiellaceae.